Long non-coding RNA from Portunus trituberculatus (swimming crab), 458 nucleotides. RefSeq lists it as uncharacterized. Lineage: Eukaryota; Metazoa; Arthropoda; Malacostraca; Decapoda; Portunidae. The record is from RefSeq and is a predicted model, not a curated record. The transcript has 3 exons.
CCACCUAUGGUGAAAACAAUCCUGCUUACUAAGAAAAAAAAAAAAGGCAAGAUUACCUUCCUGGGUCUUAUAAUUGACGGAUGGUGAUCGACUCCAUUAUCUCUGAUCUACAACAGCAAAAUACUUUGCGACCCUCCAGGAAAGGAUACAACAAUAUAAUUAAUGCACUAUUUGAGAAGUUUCCACAUAUUGGAGAUCCCUCUCUAAGGUCAAAGAUGAAACAAGUUCGAUUGCCUCUGAGUUCUCCAGAGGUGACGGCCUUAAAAGAAAAAUAUGGUCGACUGAAACAGCAAAAUAAAAAAAAGGAAAAAAAAAGAAAAAAAGAAAGCAGAGAAUUGUGGUGAGAAAGUUGGAAUGCUUCGGAAGAAGCAAAGGCCACACAAUGUAAGUGUCCAGUACACUUUGUGUACAGUAGUGUUUAAAAAAAAAAAUACAUUUUAGUUGUUUAAGUUCCAUUG